GAUGAACGCUAGCGGCAGGCUUAACACAUGCAAGUCGAGGGGUAUAGUUCUUCGGAACUAGAGACCGGCGCACGGGUGCGUAACGCGUAUGCAAUCUACCUUUUGCAGAGGGAUAGCCCAGAGAAAUUUGGAUUAAUACCUCAUAGUAUGUGAGAAUGGCAUCAUUUUCACAUUAAAGUCACAACGGCAAAAGAUGAGCAUGCGUCCCAUUAGCUUGUUGGUAAGGUAACGGCUUACCAAGGCAACGAUGGGUAGGGGUCCUGAGAGGGAGAUCCCCCACACUGGUACUGAGACACGGACCAGACUCCUACGGGAGGCAGCAGUGAGGAAUAUUGGACAAUGGGCGCAAGCCUGAUCCAGCCAUGCCGCGUGCAGGAUGACGGUCCUAUGGAUUGUAAAACUGCUUUUGUACAGGAAGAAACACUGGUUCGUGAACCAGCUUGACGGUACUGUAAGAAUAAGGAUCGGCUAACUCCGUGCCAGCAGCCG
This 489-nucleotide ribosomal RNA is filed under the name uncultured bacterium. Its description in RNAcentral is "bacterial SSU rRNA". It matches the Rfam family "Bacterial small subunit ribosomal RNA", at positions 28 to 517 of the family's 1533-position model. The record is from RNAcentral.